RNAcentral lists this long non-coding RNA (221 nucleotides) under Elaeis guineensis (African oil palm). Its description in RNAcentral is "long non-coding RNA (EGUI_LNC044535)". The record is from RNAcentral. Lineage: Eukaryota; Viridiplantae; Streptophyta; Magnoliopsida; Arecales; Arecaceae.
CCAACAUGCAUCACAAGAUCUAUAUGGCUAGGGACCAACUGUAUAUAUAGUCAAACCAAAGCAACCUCACUAUGAGUAGUCGAGGCACCGCAGGUCAAAGGACUAGUCACACCAUCGUAGCAUCAAGUAUGUCACUGACAAGUGGGUAGAUAUCUAAGUGAUUACUCGUGUGGUCAUGCUCGAUACCAUUAUUCUUUAACAAUCACUUACACUCUCACUCC